GUCGAGAAUCAUUCGCAAUGGGCGAAAGCCUGACGGUGCGACGCCGCGUGGAGGAUGAAGGCCCUAGGGUCGUAAACUCCUGUCAUCAGGGAGUAAAGACUCGCGUAGUCACUGACGCGGGUCCUGAUAGUACCUGAAGAGGAAGGGACGGCAAACUUCGUGCCAGCAGCCGCGGUAAUACGAAGGUCCCAAGCGUUGUUCGGAUUUACUGGGCGUAAAGAGUCUGUAGGCGGCGGGGUAAGUCAGAUGUGAAAUCCCGGGGCUCAACCCCGGAACUGCAUCCGAUACUGCCUUGCUAGAGUAUUGGAGGGGAGCCUGGAAUUCUCGGUGUAGCAGUGAAAUGCGUAGAUAUCGAGAGGAACACUAGUGGCGAAGGCGAGGCUCUGGACAAUUACUGACGCUGAGAGACGAAGGCCAGGGGAGCGAAAAGGAUUAGAUACCCGAGUAGUCC
Molecule: ribosomal RNA, 451 nt
Filed under: uncultured Verrucomicrobiales bacterium
Lineage: Bacteria; Pseudomonadati; Verrucomicrobiota; Verrucomicrobiia; Verrucomicrobiales
Description: bacterial SSU rRNA
Rfam family: Bacterial small subunit ribosomal RNA
Source: RNAcentral